CGCGCAGGCGGUUUUAUUAGUCAGAUGUGAAAGCCCACGGCUCAACCGUGGAAGUGCAUUUGAAACUGUAAGACUUGAGUACCAGAGGGGGAAGUGGAAUUCCCGGUGUAGAGGUGAAAUUCGUAGAUAUCGGGAGGAAUACCGGUGGCGAAGGCGACUUUCUGCUGGAUACUGACGCUGAGGCGCGAAAGCGUGGGGAGCAAACA
Molecule: ribosomal RNA, 206 nt
Filed under: uncultured bacterium
Lineage: Bacteria
Description: partial 16S ribosomal RNA
Rfam family: Bacterial small subunit ribosomal RNA
Source: RNAcentral